Molecule: long non-coding RNA, 1407 nt
Organism: Mizuhopecten yessoensis (Yesso scallop)
Lineage: Eukaryota; Metazoa; Mollusca; Bivalvia; Pectinida; Pectinidae
Exons: 3
Source: RefSeq, a predicted model, not a curated record
AUUCUUCCUCAUUUAGUGCAAUUUUUCCCUUUUAAAAAGAGACAAGUAUUGAGAUUAAUAAAUAGGUUUAAAUUACAUGUACAUAGAAACAGAGUUUCCACAGCUCACAAGUAACAUUUAAUGCACAAAAAUGGCAUGGUGCGCGCGCACAUCCAAGUAAUUAGCAAUUAAAUGCAGAUUCCAAAAUUUUCAUGUACACACAAAGUAUAACAAAGAGAAAUGAACACUACUGAACACAGAUAGAGGCUAAUGUGUAGGUUAUACAGAGAAAUGAACACAGCUAGAGGCUAAUGUGUAGGUGAUACAGAGAAAUGAACACUUAUGAACACAGUUAGAGGCUAAUGUGUAGAUUAUACAGAGAAAUGAACACUACUGAACACAGAUAGAGGCUAAUGUGUAGGUUAUACAGAGAAAUGAACACUAAUUAACACAGUUAGAGGCUAAUGUGUAGAUUAUACAGAGAAAUGAACACUACUUAACACAGAUAGAGGCUAAUGUGUAGGUUAUACAGAGAAAUGAACACUAAUUAACACAGCUAGAGGCUAAUGUGUAGAUUAUACAGAGAAAUGAACACUACUGAACACAGAUAGAGGCUAAUGUGUAGGGUAUACAGAGAAAUGAACACUAAUGAACACAGCUAGAGGCUAAUGUGUAGAUUAUACAGAGAAAUGAACACUAAUGAACACAGUUAGAGGCUAAUGGGUAGAUUAUACAGAGAAAUGAACACUAAUGAACACAGUUAGAGGCUAAUGUGUAGGUUAUACAGAGAAAUGAACACUAAUUAACACAGCUAGAGGCUAAUGUGUAGGUUAUACAGAGAAAUUAACACAGCUAGAGGCUAAUGUGUAGAUUAUACAGAGAAAUGAACACUACUGAACACAGAUAGAGGCUAAUGAGUAGGUUAUACAGAGAAAUGAACACAGCUAGAGGCUAAUGUGGAGGUUAUACAGAGAAAUGAACACUAAUGAACACAUCUAGAGGCUAAUGUGUAGGUUAUACAGAGAAAUGAAGACUUAUGAACACAUUUAGAGGCUAAUGUGUAGAUUAUACAGAGAAAUGAACACAGCUAGAGGCUAAUGUGUCGAUUAUACAGAGAAAUGAACACUACUGAACACAGAUAGAGGCUAAUGAGUAGGUUAUACAGAGAAAUGAACACAGCUAGAGGCUAAUGUGUAGGUUAUGUAGUCAAAUUCAGUUAAUGCAAAUACAUCAAAUGAAACAUUUGGUAAGGAUUGUCAAUAUAAUGUCCAAAUUGAUCAGAUCUAGAAUCGUGGUGGCAACAAAACCUCGACUGUACACAAAUGAACAAUAUAUGGUUGUAAAAUGCACUUCUUAUCAUUCCGAUUCCAUAAAUCAUGAUUGUUGCUUCAUACGUCCAAGUACAUUUUUGGUGAGGAUGGAAAAAAA